This 498-nucleotide ribosomal RNA is filed under the name uncultured bacterium. Its description in RNAcentral is "partial 16S ribosomal RNA". It matches the Rfam family "Bacterial small subunit ribosomal RNA", at positions 41 to 523 of the family's 1533-position model. The record is from RNAcentral.
GGCGUGCCUAAUACAUGCAAGUCGUGCGGUUUGAGAGGAGCUUGCUCCUUGAUGACAGCGGCGGACGGGUGAGUAACACGUGGGCAAUCUGCCCGACAGACUGGGAUAACGCUUGGAAACGAGUGCUAAUACCAGAUAGUCUUUUGAACUGCAUGGUUCGAAAGGGAAAGGAGCUAUCGCUCCACUGUCGGAUGAGCCCGCGGCGCAUUAGCUAGUUGGUGAGGUAACGGCUCACCAAGGCGACGAUGCGUAGCCGACCUGAGAGGGUGACCGGCCACACUGGGACUGAGACACGGCCCAGACUCCUACGGGAGGCAGCAGUAGGGAAUCUUCCGCAAUGGGCGCAAGCCUGACGGAGCAACGCCGCGUGAAUGAUGAAGGCCUUCGGGUUGUAAAAUUCUGUCUUCUGUGAAGAACAAGUGUGAGAGUGGAAAGCUCACACCCUGACGGUAACAGGGGAGGAAGCCCCGGCUAACUACGUGCCAGCCGCCGCGGUAA